UCUACUAUUCUCAGGGUAUAAAGCUUAGU
This 29-nucleotide non-coding RNA is filed under the name Rattus norvegicus (Norway rat). The record is from RNAcentral. Lineage: Eukaryota; Metazoa; Chordata; Mammalia; Rodentia; Muridae.